CAGUCGCCGCGGGAAAACGUAGGUGGCAAGCGUUGUCCGGAAUUAUUGGGCGUAAAGGGCUCGCAGGCGGUUUCUUAAGUCUGAUGUGAAAGCCCCCGGCUCAACCGGGGAGGGUCAUUGGAAACUGGGAAACUUGAGUGCAGAAGAGGAGAGUGGAAUUCCACGUGUAGCGGUGAAAUGCGUAGAGAUGUGGAGGAACACCUGUGGCGAAAGCGGCUCACUGGACCAUUUCCGACGCUGAUGCACGAAAGCUAGGGGAGCAAACAGGAUUAGAUACCCCCGUAGUCCCUGUCUCUUAUAC
RNAcentral lists this ribosomal RNA (301 nucleotides) under uncultured bacterium. RNAcentral's name for it is "partial 16S ribosomal RNA". It matches the Rfam family "Bacterial small subunit ribosomal RNA", at positions 509 to 807 of the family's 1533-position model. The record is from RNAcentral.